AUACUAAAAUUCGGCAGCACAUAUACUAAAAUUGGAAUGAUACAGAGAAGAUUAGCAUGGCCCCUGCGCAAGGAUGAUGCAAAUAAUUUUUUAAUUAUUUAAUUUAUA
This is a small nuclear RNA of Sorex fumeus (smoky shrew), 108 nucleotides long. Lineage: Eukaryota; Metazoa; Chordata; Mammalia; Eulipotyphla; Soricidae. The record is from RefSeq and is a predicted model, not a curated record.